Long non-coding RNA from Bolinopsis microptera, 1043 nucleotides. RefSeq lists it as uncharacterized. The record is from RefSeq and is a predicted model, not a curated record. Lineage: Eukaryota; Metazoa; Ctenophora; Tentaculata; Lobata; Bolinopsidae. The transcript has 3 exons.
UGACAAAUCAAAACUCCGAUUUGCCAAGAACCUUGAUUUUUAGUUUAGGUUUAAGUUUUAAAUUAUAGUUUGAAAGGUUAACCAUGUUUCAUGGCAGAGAGAGAUAUCAUGUGUGAAUUGCUGAUUUAACGCGGCCGUCUUCGUUUCCCCGGUAAAUCGGGGGUUCUGUGCUGUUUCCCCGGUAAAUCGGGGGUUCUGUAUUUAACUGUGUUUUGAAGUUGAGGGUUUUUGUUCGAUAAAACAGCUGAAAAGAAGCUGGAUACAGCUUCUUCUCGAGCAUAUAUAAAUGACUUUCUAAGUGAUCUCCGUACGUUCAAAUCAGAGUUGUUUUUGCAGAAUGAAGAGCCACAUUUCUUGGAUCAAACUAUAUAUAACAUAUUUUCUUCAUACAUGCCACUAGUCACCCGUAAGUGUAACUGAUAAUUCCUUGAGUUACUAAGGAUUUGCGAUUGUGACGGUAUAAGUAUAACCGGUAAAAUAUAACCGGUAAAAUAUAACCGGUAAAAUUUCCUCCAGAGUAAACUGAUCAUCGGUGCAAUGGUAGUCUCCUAAGAUGAACCAUACUUCCACGAUUGUGUAAAAUUGGAGGCCCACCGGACCCUGAUAAAUUGGAUCAAGAGCAUAGUUACAUUUUUACAUAUACUUACAUACUGAAAUAGAUUAUGAUCAAUUAUUUCAAACAAGUAAAACACUCAAAAUAGGCGGGCAGACGAUUCGUUUCAUUAUAUAGUUAUAGACUAUGAAAAUUGUAAGUAAUUAACUAUAAACAUUUAAACUUUUAAGUAAUCAAAUGAUAAUAUUAAUUAAGUAAUUAAGUAAUUAAAUGAUAAUAUUACUACCACGAAUGAAAUAAAAUCCUGGGCAUUACGUGAGAAACUUACGAAGACGAAAAUAAUGAAUAUUCGCAUUUUGUAAUAUGGAGCCUCAAAGAUCAAGAAUCAAUAUAAGGUAGUCUCUAAAUUAAAGCUUGUCUGUUUAAUAUAUGGUUAUAACAUGACUAUAAUAGUUCAGCACAAUUUUCAAUGACAACAUAAAAUAUCUCC